AUGAACGCUAGCGGCAGGCUUAACACAUGCAAGUCGAGGGGUAUAGGUUUUCGGACCUAGAGACCGGCGCACGGGUGCGUAACGCGUAUGCAAUCUACCUUUUACAGAGGGAUAGCCCAGAGAAAUUUGGAUUAAUACCUCAUAGUAUUAUUGAAUGGCAUCAUUUAGUAAUUAAAGUCACAACGGUAAAAGAUGAGCAUGCGUCCCAUUAGCUAGUUGGUAAGGUAACGGCUUACCAAGGCAACGAUGGGUAGGGGUCCUGAGAGGGAGAUCCCCCACACUGGUACUGAGACACGGACCAGACUCCUACGGGAGGCAGCAGUGAGGAAUAUUGGUCAAUGGGCGCAAGCCUGAACCAGCCAUGCCGCGUGCAGGAUGACGGUCCUAUGGAUUGUAAACUGCUUUUGUACAGGAAGAAACAGUUCUACGUGUAGAACCUUGACGGUACUGUAAGAAUAAGGAUCGGCUAACUCCGU
This 476-nucleotide ribosomal RNA is filed under the name uncultured bacterium. RNAcentral's name for it is "bacterial SSU rRNA". It matches the Rfam family "Bacterial small subunit ribosomal RNA", at positions 29 to 506 of the family's 1533-position model. The record is from RNAcentral.